This is a small nucleolar RNA of Nycticebus coucang (slow loris), 75 nucleotides long. RefSeq annotates it as small nucleolar RNA SNORD113/SNORD114 family. The transcript has a single exon. Lineage: Eukaryota; Metazoa; Chordata; Mammalia; Primates; Lorisidae. The record is from RefSeq and is a predicted model, not a curated record.
AGGGAAAAUAAUGACAAAUAGUGUUAUAUAAAUUAUACAUGCUGAAUACUGUGUGUCAUUAACUCUGAAAUCUAG